ACCUUGUUACAGUGAGGA
This 18-nucleotide unclassified non-coding RNA is filed under the name Mus musculus (house mouse). Its description in RNAcentral is "oocyte_clustered_small_RNA3753". Lineage: Eukaryota; Metazoa; Chordata; Mammalia; Rodentia; Muridae. The record is from RNAcentral.